Molecule: transfer RNA, 72 nt
Filed under: Camelus bactrianus (Bactrian camel)
Lineage: Eukaryota; Metazoa; Chordata; Mammalia; Artiodactyla; Camelidae
Also listed under: 2 other names
Rfam family: tRNA
About the family: Transfer RNA (tRNA) molecules are approximately 80 nucleotides in length. Their secondary structure includes four short double-helical elements and three loops (D, anti-codon, and T loops). Further hydrogen bonds mediate the characteristic L-shaped molecular structure. tRNAs have two regions of fundamental functional importance: the anti-codon, which is responsible for specific mRNA codon recognition, and the 3' end, to which the tRNAs corresponding amino acid is attached (by aminoacyl-tRNA synthetases). tRNAs cope with the degeneracy of the genetic code in two manners: having more than one tRNA (with a specific anti-codon) for a particular amino acid; and 'wobble' base-pairing, i.e. permitting non-standard base-pairing at the 3rd anti-codon position.
Source: Rfam by way of RNAcentral
AUGAGUAUAGCUCAGUGGUAGAGCAUAUGCUUAGCAUGCACGAGGCCCUGUGUUCAAUCCCCAGUACUUCCA